RNAcentral lists this ribosomal RNA (512 nucleotides) under uncultured bacterium. RNAcentral describes it as "partial 16S ribosomal RNA". It matches the Rfam family "Bacterial small subunit ribosomal RNA", at positions 28 to 523 of the family's 1533-position model. The record is from RNAcentral.
GACGAACGCUGGCGGCAUGCCUAAUACAUGCAAGUCGAGCGAACAGAUGAAGUGCUUGCACUUCUGACGUUAGCGGCGAACGGGUGAGUAACACGUAAGGAAUCUACCUAUAAGCGGGGGAUAACAUUCGGAAACGGGUGCUAAUACCGCAUAAUAUCUUCUUCCGCAUGGAAGAAGAUUGAAAGACGGCUCUGCUGUCACUUAUAGAUGACCUUGCGGUGCAUUAGUUAGUUGGUGGGUAAUGGCCUACCAAGACGAUGAUGCAUAGCCGACCUGAGAGGGUGAGCGGCCACAUUGGGACGCAGCCACGGACCAAACUCCUACGGGAGGCAGCAGUAGGGAAUCUUCCGCAAUGGGCGAAAGCCUGACGGAGCAAGGCCGCGUGAGUGAAGAAGGCCUUCGGGUCGUAAAACUCUGUUAUAAGAGAAGAACAAAUUGUAGAGUAACUGCUGCAGUCUUGACGGUAUCUUAUCAGAAAGCCACGGCUAACUACGUGCCAGCAGCCGCAGUAA